AGUGGCCAAGUGGUUGAGACGACCGCCUGGUAUGCCAGUAGUCGUGGGUUCAAAUCUC
Molecule: transfer RNA, 58 nt
Filed under: Oxyrrhis marina
Lineage: Eukaryota; Dinophyceae; Oxyrrhinales; Oxyrrhinaceae
Source: RNAcentral